GAUGAAGAUGGUGAUACGUGGAUGAUGGUCGGUGUUUGAUGAUGAUAAUGUGAUGAUUGAUGACCGUUGAUUGACGGUGUUGAUGAUGGUGGCUGGUGAACAGCGCAACGAAGGAGUUACGAAGAGGAAUGAAGGGGUUUGAUACUCUGAUUUAUUUUUGGGUGUUAAAGUUCCGAAAAAGUUGAAGUGUGAUGGGUGUUUUGGUCCCUUUUGUUUUUUUUCUUUUAUUCUCUCAUUUUCUAAUCUCCUUUUUUUCUUUCAAUCAGUCUUGCCACAACUGGUGCACGUUAACAUUUACGUACACCAAAGAUCCACACGUGCCAACUUCACGUAUAUGGUAAUAUGACAAGAGGAGAGAGAAAGGAACACCCAAAAAAACCACAAUCGAGUUCUCUGCUAUCUCCUCUUCUCUUCAAUUGCUAUCAUGAAUCUCUUCUCUUUAAUGGUGAUCCAUCAAUCUCCUCUCUACAAUUGCGAUCAUCAAUCUCCUCUCUACAAUUGCGAUCAUCGUUCUCUUCUUUCAAUUGCAAUCAACUCUUCAUUCUUCUCUUCAGUGAAUAAUUUCUCUGCAAUUAAUUUGAACUACACCAUUGAAGACCUAUAUUGGAAACUCGACCGAUUUGUUGGAGACUUGGAGGAAGCCUAAAUUCAGAAAUUCAACGAAUUAAUCCUUCAAAGUUAUCGAAGACGAUCCUCCUCAUCCUUCGAAUUACUCUAAUGGUGAAGUGGAUUCUAUUACAGAGCACGAAGAAGCCUGGUUUCUUUUGGAUAUCAGAGCUUCUCUUUUAACAUGUGUAAGCCUAUUAGCUCAACUGGCCGAGCACCGUGCAACUUACGAGGAGAUGUAGGUUCAAAUCCUACAUAGGCUAUUGGUUUUAUUAUGAAAAAUAAAUCGACAUUUAUUGUAACAUUUACCUAUUUUAUAGACAAUUGAUCUCACAGAUCAACAAACAUCCAUCAGAUAAUUUUUGUGGUAGAUAAAAUGUUGACUAUUGUUGUGACAGAA
Molecule: long non-coding RNA, 1006 nt
Organism: Spinacia oleracea (spinach)
Lineage: Eukaryota; Viridiplantae; Streptophyta; Magnoliopsida; Caryophyllales; Amaranthaceae
Exons: 3
Source: RefSeq, a predicted model, not a curated record